GAUGAACGCUGGCGGCGUGCCUAAUACAUGCAAGUCGAGCGAACGGACGAGAAGCUUGCUUCUCUGAUGUUAGCGGCGGACGGGUGAGUAACACGUGGAUACCCUACCUAUAAGACUGGGAUAACUUCGGGAAACCGGAGCUAAUACCGGAUAAUAUUUUGAACCUCAUGGUUCAAAAGUGAAAGACGGUCUUGCUGUCACUUAUAGAUGGAUCCGCGCUGCAUUAGCUAGUUGGUAAGGUAACGGCUUACCAAGGCAACGAUGCAUAGCCGACCUGAGAGGGUGAUCGGCCACACUGGAACUGAGACACGGUCCAGACUCCUACGGGAGGCAGCAGUAGGGAAUCUUCCGCAAUGGGCGAAAGCCUGACGGAGCAACGCCGCGUGAGUGAAGAAGGUCUUCGGAUCGUAAAACUCUGUUAUUAGGGAAGAACAUAUGUGUAAGAAACUGUGCACAUCUUGACGGUACCUAAUCAAAAAGCAACGGCUAACUACGUG
Molecule: ribosomal RNA, 497 nt
Filed under: uncultured bacterium
Lineage: Bacteria
Description: partial 16S ribosomal RNA
Rfam family: Bacterial small subunit ribosomal RNA
Source: RNAcentral